RNAcentral lists this ribosomal RNA (492 nucleotides) under uncultured bacterium. RNAcentral's name for it is "SSU rRNA". It matches the Rfam family "Bacterial small subunit ribosomal RNA", at positions 26 to 517 of the family's 1533-position model. The record is from RNAcentral.
AGAGCGAACGCUGGCGGCGUGCUUAACACAUGCAAGUCGAACGCGCAGCAGUUUGUAGCAAUACAGAUUGUGGGCGCGUGGCGAACGGGUGCGUAACACGUGGAUAACCUUCCUUCAGGUGGGGAAUAACCCAGUGAAAAUUGGGCUAAUACCGCAUAACAUGACGAUGGCUCAUGCCGUUGUCUUCAAAGGCGCAAGUCGCCAGAAGAGGGAUCCGCGGCCGAUUAGCUAGUUGGCGAGGUAAUGGCUCACCAAGGCAUUGAUCGGUAGCCGGACUGAGAGGUUGGCCGGCCACACUGGAACUGAGACACGGUCCAGACUCCUACGGGAGGCAGCAGUGGGGAAUCUUGCACAAUGGACGAAAGUCUGAUGCAGCAACGCCGCGUGGGGAUGAAGCUUUUCGGAGUGUAAACCCUUUCGACCCGGAAGAAAGCCCGCAAGGGUUUGACGGUACGGGUAUAAGAAGCCCGGCUAACUACGUGCCAGCAGCCG